RNAcentral lists this unclassified non-coding RNA (360 nucleotides) under uncultured Myxotrichaceae. RNAcentral's name for it is "sequence contains ITS2". The stretch from base 1 to 154 matches the Rfam family "5.8S ribosomal RNA". Lineage: Eukaryota; Fungi; Ascomycota; Leotiomycetes; Myxotrichaceae. The record is from RNAcentral.
AACUUUUGGCAAUGGAUCUCUUGGUUCUGGCAUCGAUGAAGAACGCAGCGAAAUGCGAUAAGUAAUGUGAAUUGCAGAAUUCAGUGAGUCAUCGAAUCUUUGAACGCACAUUGCGCCCCGUGGUAUUCCGCGGGGCAUGCCUGUUCGAGCGUCAUUUCAACCCUCAAGCUCCGCUUGGUGUUGGGCCCUGCCCGUCGCGGCCGGCCCUAAAGACAGUGGCGGCGCCGUCUGGCUCUAAGCGUAGUACAUCUCUCGCUCUAGGGUCCUGCGGUGGCUUGCCAGAACCCCCAAACUUCUAUGGUUGACCUCGGAUCAGGUAGGGAUACCCGCUGAACUUAAGCAUAUCAAUAAGCGGAGGCU